This 413-nucleotide ribosomal RNA is filed under the name uncultured bacterium. RNAcentral describes it as "bacterial SSU rRNA". It matches the Rfam family "Bacterial small subunit ribosomal RNA", at positions 505 to 916 of the family's 1533-position model. The record is from RNAcentral.
GUGUCAGCAGCCGCGGUAAUACGAAGGGUGCAAGCGUUACUCGGAAUUACUGGGCGUAAAGCGUGCGUAGGUGGUGGUUUAAGUCUGCUGUGAAAGCCCUGGGCUCAACCUGGGAAUUGCAGUGGAUACUGGAUCACUAGAGUGUGGUAGAGGGAUGCGGAAUUUCUGGUGUAGCAGUGAAAUGCGUAGAGAUCAGAAGGAACAUCCGUGGCGAAGGCGGCAUCCUGGGCCAACACUGACACUGAGGCACGAAAGCGUGGGGAGCAAACAGGAUUAGAUACCCUGGUAGUCCACGCCCUAAACGAUGCGAACUGGAUGUUGGGUGCAACUUGGCACCCAGUAUCGAAGCUAACGCGUUAAGUUCGCCGCCUGGGGAGUACGGUCGCAAGACUGAAACUCAAAGGAAUUGACGG